Chelonia mydas (Green sea turtle) is the source of this 288-nucleotide long non-coding RNA. RefSeq lists it as uncharacterized. The record is from RefSeq and is a predicted model, not a curated record. The transcript has 2 exons. NCBI's taxonomy places the organism in Eukaryota, Metazoa, Chordata, Testudines, Cheloniidae.
AGGUUCAAAGGUUUGAGUCUCCAAGAUGUUCAGAAUCCUGUUGGGUUUUUUGGAGCACAUGUCUCAGAGAAGAAAUACAAGGUCACAUGCUGCAAAAGUUCUCUCUGUACUGAGCAUUUUUGUCAUAGCAAACAUUUUGCAGUUAUCACCUGACAGGAGGAAUCAUCUCCCGCUCAUCAAGAAGGCUUAUCAAAACUAAAUGGACCAUUGUGGGACAUCACAAUACAAAGAGCUCAUCCCGUCAGUUUGAAUUCUGAAAGAAAGAAAUAAAAAUAGUUGACAUGAAAA